This 497-nucleotide ribosomal RNA is filed under the name uncultured bacterium. Its description in RNAcentral is "partial 16S ribosomal RNA". It matches the Rfam family "Bacterial small subunit ribosomal RNA", at positions 28 to 507 of the family's 1533-position model. The record is from RNAcentral.
GAUGAACGCUGGCGGCGUGCCUAAUACAUGCAAGUCGAGCGAACAGACGAUGAGCUUGCUCCUCUGACGUUAGCGGCGGACGGGUGAGUAACACGUGGAUAACCUACUUAUAAUACUGGGAUAAUUUCGGGAAACCGGAGCUAAUCCCGGAGAAUAUAUUGAACCGCAGGGUUCAAUGGUGAAAGACGGCUUUGCGGUCUCUUUUAGAUGAUUCCGCGCCGCAUUGGCUAGUUGGUAAGGUAACGGCUUAACAAGGGAACGAUGCGUAGCCGACCGGAGAGGGUGAUCGGCCACACUGGAACUGAACCACGGUCCAGACUCCUAAGGGAGGGAGCAGUAGGGAAUCUUCCGCAAUGGGGGAAAGCCUGACGGAGCAACGCCGCGUGAGUUGUAGAGGUCUUGGGAUCGGAAAACUCUGUUAGUAGGGAAGAACAAAUGUGUAAGUAACUAUGCACGGCUUGACGGUACCUAAUAAGAAAGCCACGGCUAACUACGUG